CAUAAGACUCAAUUUCUGGGCUGUUAUGUCCAACGUUUGACCGUCCGUUUUAUAUAAAUUUUUUUUAUAAUUAGUAUUUUCAUUAUUGUUGGAUGAUAAAACAUGAAUAAUAUUUGAUGCAUGACUUGUCUUUUAAAAUUUUUUCAUAUUUUUUUCAAAUAAGAUGGACAGUUAUACGUUAGACAUGGAAACAUAGA
Molecule: microRNA precursor, 197 nt
Organism: Oryza sativa Indica Group (long-grained rice)
Lineage: Eukaryota; Viridiplantae; Streptophyta; Magnoliopsida; Poales; Poaceae
Rfam family: MIR812 microRNA precursor family
Source: Rfam